AUACCCGCUGAACUUAAGCAUAUCAAUAAGCGGAGGAAAAGAAACCAACAGGGAUUGCCCUAGUAACGGCGAGUGAAGCGGCAACAGCUCAAAUUUGAAAUCUGGCUUCGGCCCGAGUUGUAAUUUGUAGAGGAAACUUUUGGUGAGGCACCUUCUGAGUCCCUUGGAACAGGGCGCCAUAGAGGGUGAGAGCCCCGUAUAGUCGGAUGCCGAUCCAAUGUAAAGUUCCUUCGACGAGUCGAGUAGUUUGGGAAUGCUGCUCAAAAUGGGAGGUAAAUUUCUUCUAAAGCUAAAUAUAGGCCAGAGACCGAUAGCGCACAAGUAGAGUGAUCGAAAGAUGAAAAGCACUUUGAAAAGAGGGUUAAAUAGCACGUGAAAUUGUUGAAAGGGAAGCGUUUGUGACCAGACUUGCGCCGUUCCGAUCAUCCGGUGUUCUCACCGGUGCACUCGGGGCGGCUCAGGCCAGCAUCGGUUUUGGUGGGGGGAUAAAGGUCCAGGGAACGUAGCUCCUCCGGGAGUGUUAUAGCCCUGGGCGUAAUGCCCUCGCUGGGACCGAGGUUCGCGCAUCUGCAAGGAUGCUGGCGUAAUGGUCAUCAACGACCCGUCUUGAAACACGGACCAAGGAGUCAAGGUUUUGCGCGAGUGUUUGGGUGUAAAACCCGCACGCGUAAUGAAAGUGAACGUAGGUGAGAGCUUCGGCGCAUCAUCGACCGAUCCUGAUGUAUUCGGAUGGAUUUGAGUAAGAGCGUUAAGCCUUGGACCCGAAAGAUGGUGAACUAUGCUUGGAUAGGGUGAAGCCAGAGGAAACUCUGGUGGAGGCUCGCAGCGGUUCUGACGUGCAAAUCGAUCGUCAAAUCUGAGCAUGGGGGCGAAAGACUAAUCGAACCAUCUAGUAGCUGGUUACCGCCGAAGUUUCCCUCAGGAUAGCAGUGUUGUUCUUCAGUUUUAUGAGGUAAAGCGAAUGAUUAGGGACUCGGGGGCGCUUUUUAGCCUUCAUCCAUUCUCAAACUUUAAAUAUGUAAGAAGCUCUUGUUACUUAAUUGAACGUGAGCAUUCGAAUGUACCAACACUAGUGGGCCAUUUUUGGUAAGCAGAACUGGCG
RNAcentral lists this ribosomal RNA (1102 nucleotides) under Sordaria fimicola. RNAcentral describes it as "eukaryotic LSU rRNA". It matches the Rfam family "Eukaryotic large subunit ribosomal RNA", at positions 21 to 1155 of the family's 3401-position model. Lineage: Eukaryota; Fungi; Ascomycota; Sordariomycetes; Sordariales; Sordariaceae. The record is from RNAcentral. RNAcentral also lists the same sequence under 1 other name.